Molecule: ribosomal RNA, 441 nt
Filed under: uncultured bacterium
Lineage: Bacteria
Description: partial 16S ribosomal RNA
Rfam family: Bacterial small subunit ribosomal RNA
Source: RNAcentral
CCUACGGGUGGCAGCAGUGGGGAAUAUUGGGCAAUGGGCGCAAGCCUGACCCAGCGACGCCGCGUGAGGGAAGACGGUCUUCGGAUUGUAAACCUCUUUCAGCAGGGAAGACAAAAGGACGGUACCUGCAGAAGAAGCCACGGCUAACUACGUGCCAGCAGCCGCGGUAAUACGUAGGUGGCAAGCGUUAUCCGGAAUUAUUGGGUUUAACGGGUGCGUAGGCGGAGCGUUAAGUCAGUGGUAAAAUUGAGGGGCUCAACCCCUUCCCGCCAUUGAAACUGGCGCUCUUGAGUGGAAGAGAAGUAUGCGGAAUGCGUGGUGUAGCGGUGAAAUGCAUAGAUAUCACGCAGAACCCCGAUUGCGAAGGCAGCAUGCCGGCUUCCUACUGACGCUGAAGCACGAAAGCGUGGGGAUCGAACAGGAUUAGAUACCCUGGUAGUC